Long non-coding RNA from Balaenoptera ricei (Rice's whale), 3569 nucleotides. RefSeq lists it as uncharacterized. NCBI's taxonomy places the organism in Eukaryota, Metazoa, Chordata, Mammalia, Artiodactyla, Balaenopteridae. The transcript has 3 exons. The record is from RefSeq and is a predicted model, not a curated record.
AGGAGGGUGAUGAAGGGCCCCGGACAGCACGCAGAAUCCGAAGGCAGGAUCCGUCUCAGAGUUGGGAACUCAAGGAACUUUAAGGGAAGCAGGCACUCCCUAAGCGAUCUGACCCAGCUUCCUCCUCUGUGGGUCGAUUCCAUUCUCCUCUCUAGGAGCCCACGCCGCUUACUCAUGCGCAUGCGCACAGGACCCCAGGAUUAGUUAGGAGGCUCAGCCACCCUUUCUUGUCCGUACUGAAGGCUUCUCUGAGGCCAGAGGAAGGGAGAUAAUGCGCUUUUACAUCCAGGAGUGGGUCCCAUUGGUGGCCACAGGACAGGAAGGCCUCUGUUGGGAGGUCAGCUCACUUGUCAGUUAUUUUCAGCUGUGGCAAAAAUUCAUAUGGGUUUUUUGCAAAUGAAGUUUUCAAUUUUGGAUAAGUAGCCAGAUUCCCUGGAUGGCACAUGCUAUGAACGGCUAUGGCUGGGCUGGAGCCCAGAGUCUGUCUGCUUCCUGUGGGUGGAGGGCGGGCCUCCUGCACCCGCGCCUGGCAGGUCAUCUCCCAGUGGCCGCCACACUUGACUGCGGCCCUUCCGUUUAUCUCCACGGCCGCUGCUUGUUCCAGUAAGGCCUGCCUGUAGCCCUCGAGUCGUGACUGGCUCCCGCAAGAUGUUCCGAUGAAACUCCAGAUUAAACUCUUCUGGCCGCCUCCAGGCCUGAAUGAAGGGUGAAUGCCUAUCCUCUCUUGGCUUAUCUUCCUGGAUAAAGAGCUCAGUGGCGGGAAUGUACUCAAGGCCGGCACCAUAGGAUUCUAUGAACUGAAGCUGGCCAGCUCGUCCUCUCUUCCCGCCACAUGGGGGGCUGCCACAAGUGACCCAGGGGGCCUGUGCAGCCCCAGCCCAAUAACAAGGCCACUUGUUUUCAUCAUUGUGGGUUUGGAGGGGGCAGUCAUGGUGGCCUUGUGAGUCGUCACCCCUCUGUGCAAGGCAAGGGUGUCCGGACAGGUCACCUUUCAGGCCACUGGCUUAUGCCAGUGCUGCCAAAGCCAGUGGCCUGAGUAUCUGCUGGGCUGGGCUCACAACACAGCCGCAGUACCUGGCUCCUGGUAGUAAGGUCAGGGUGCUCGGCACAGGGGUGGGCAAGGUCCUAAGGACUGCAGGGUGAAAUGCAGCAACAUGCAUGGGUGCAGAAAGAAAGGGGCCCCCUGGGCUGGGGCAUUUAUAGGAGGCCAGGAGGUACCAACCCUCCAUGCAAGGGAAGGGACAGCAGUGAAUCGUGGGUGCUGACCCUGGAGUGCGAGGCCCAAGAAGGAGAAGGCUGAGGGUUCGGUUUCCCCUCUGCCGCCUCCACCGUGCCCUGCAGGCUAGCUUUCCCCGCUGCAGCCUCAGCUGGAGGAUUAGUGGGGUCUCCAGCUGGUGGUUAUUGUUGCCCCUGGCAAAGGUGUUAGAUUUCUUGGUCCUUGUUCCUGUAGGGGAAGAGGUGUCUGAAUUCAACUGAUGCUUCUGCACCUGUAUACGUAGCAGGAAUUGAUGGCUUAUAUGCUUGCACUUUUCCAGUCCCUUAAGUGUUAGAGGGGAUUUUCCCAUUCAGGGACUGCUGUAUGUAGAGGGUGACAGUGGAACACGGAGAUCACUCCCCAACCCUCUUUCCUUCCACCUCCGAUGGUCCAACAGAAACAAUAAAGACUGUGAAGCAAGAAAGGGAAAUCACAGCUUUUCUUAAAAACGGGAUUGUUGCCUGUGCUCUCAGAGAGGCCCCUCUCCCUGCAACAGCGCCACCUGCUGACACAGCCACAAGGUACCUCUGCCACUGAAGAACUCCAGACCCAGGAUGCUUUGUAGCGCUCCGGCCUGAUACCCCAUUUUGGGAUGAGUCAAGUCGAACCUGACAGUUAACAAGAUGGGAAGAGCCUAAAAGGCCUCGCUAGUCAAAUAGAAAUGGUAUAUUUAAAAGCGCAGUCAGCCUGGCCCUUGAGAGAUUUUACAUGAAAAAGUGGCAGCUACUGCCUUGGGAGAAACCACCUGAAACAAGGUCCUGAAUCUGGGGCCCUCAAGUGUCACAGGUUCCCCUAAAUGCCCGGCCUUAGUUCACUGAUGACUUAGCCAAGGUGAAACCUGAUGGGUGCGUUGGGAGGCCACUGCCAUCCAGCUUCAUGGCCAGAUACGUAAAACCGAAAGUGGAUGUCACCAUGGGCAGAAGUCAAGGCCAUUCUCAUCCUGAGUCUGGCCAGCACUCCCCUUGAUGAACCUUGUUACAUUUUACUGACUUGGGCUGCUAGCCAAUGGCCUGGCUGCUUGGUUCACUUGGAAGAUGACAGAUAUGGAGAAUUAAAGACACACGCUUGGGGCGGUAAACUAUGGAAUCACACCUUGGUCCUACCUGACAGAUGGGUCAUUCAUGUGGAUGCCCAGAGUGGGGACCUGGUCUCUGAUAAGACUCCCUGGCUGUUGAUCAAGGCUGCAGCGCCCAGAAGCUCCCUCCUGUUCCUGGUAAGUUGACUCCAUCGAACCUUGAACACCUGCUGUGGGCUCUCUUGAUGCUGGUGUCCCUGUUCCAGUCCAGUCGGCUGACUCAGGCCACAUCAUUAUAGCCCUUGAAACUGUGUCAUGUUUUAGGCUUUGCAGAUCCUCUACAGUCUGAUAUUGAUGCACCUUCUGUUACAAAAGCCAGUCACCGGGGGCCAAUAGUCAAGGUGUUGGAUGGACAUUCCACACUCCCUACCACCCACAGCAUCUGGGUACCAAGCACUGGAAUGACCUCUUUCAAGUCAGCUCUACUUCCCGCACUUCCUUCUGGUCCACACACUGUAGUAAGGCAGCCUGCUCACUGAAUGUGGCUGUCCCUUCUUGGUUGGCCAUCUCUUGGGUAAUGAUCAGGAUGAAAGGGAUGGGGGGCUUUCUAGACUUAUUUUGAAAAUCAAAGAGUCUGCCCUGACCACUUGUAGGUAUGGCAUUUCUUUUCUUUCCCCUAAUAGCUACCCUAGGCCAGCCUGGCUGGUAGACUGUCUUGAGUACAGCCCAGCCAAAAGGGAGCCUAGAGAAUUCCAGCUUAAUUCUGGCCCAGCCAUCAGGAUUCUCUUGUUGGGUUGAUGUGGUUCUAGAUCAUGUGACUGAGGACACUGCUGUCUCCAGCCCCCCUAUAGUGGCUCACACUUGCUGUGGCAGGCUGGGCAGUGGCCCCCAAGAUCUCUGGGUCCUAAUCCUUGGAACCUGUGAAGGGGAUUUUGAAGAUAUGAUUAAGUUAAGAAUCUUCAGAUGGGGAGAUUAUCCUGGAUUAUCCCAGUGGGCACUAAAUGUAAUCCCAAGUGUGAGGUAGAGACAGAUUUUACAACAGAGGGCAAUACGAUAAUGGGAAUAGAAGGACAAAGAGAGAGAUUUGAAGACACUGCUAAAAUACUGGAUUUGAAGACGAGGAAGAAGCCAUGAACUAAGAAAUGUAAGGAAUGCAGUUCUAGAAGCUGGAAAAGACAUCAAAAGGGAUUCUCCCCUAGAAGGAAUGUGGCCCUGCAGACACUUGGUUUCAGAUCAGUGGAAACUAUUUCAGACCUCUGACCCCCAGAACUGUAAGACAAUAAAUGUGUGAUGUUUUAA